UAAAGCUCAUCUAGUGAUCUUGGGUAAGUCGAGGCGCGGUGAUUCUUCUCCAUCUGUACUUGAGAUCUUCUCAUUCGAUGCCAAGACUUUCUCCGUUUCAUCUUCUCCAAAGGCCACAUAUGUGCCUGAAGAUGGCGAUCCUGUGAGCAUUGCAGUGCAUCCCAGUGGAGACGACAUCGUUUGCUCCACCACCACCGCUGGUUGCAAGGUAUUUGAGUUGUGUGUUUGGGAAGAAAGUACAAAGCUG
Molecule: long non-coding RNA, 247 nt
Organism: Telopea speciosissima
Lineage: Eukaryota; Viridiplantae; Streptophyta; Magnoliopsida; Proteales; Proteaceae
Exons: 3
Source: RefSeq, a predicted model, not a curated record